This 465-nucleotide ribosomal RNA is filed under the name Vreelandella stevensii. RNAcentral describes it as "partial 16S ribosomal RNA". It matches the Rfam family "Bacterial small subunit ribosomal RNA", at positions 338 to 795 of the family's 1533-position model. Lineage: Bacteria; Pseudomonadati; Pseudomonadota; Gammaproteobacteria; Oceanospirillales; Halomonadaceae. The record is from RNAcentral.
CCUACGGGGGGCUGCAGUGGGGAAUAUUGGACAAUGGGCGAAAGCCUGAUCCAGCCAUGCCGCGUGUGUGAAGAAGGCCUUCGGGUUGUAAAGCACUUUCAGUGGGGAAGAAAGCCUUGGGGCUAAUACCCUCGAGGAAGGACAUCACCCACAGAAGAAGCACCGGCUAACUCCGUGCCAGCAGCCGCGGUAAUACGGAGGGUGCGAGCGUUAAUCGGAAUUACUGGGCGUAAAGCGCGAGUAGGCGGUCUGAUAAGCCGGUUGUGAAAGCCCCGGGCUCAACCUGGGAACGGCAUCCGGAACUGUCAGGCUAGAGUGCAGGAGAGGAAGGUAGAAUUCCCGGUGUAGCGGUGAAAUGCGUAGAGAUCGGGAGGAAUACCAGUGGCGAAGGCGGCCUUCUGGACUGACACUGACGCUGAGGUGCGAAAGCGUGGGUAGCAAACAGGAUUAGAUACCCGGGUAGUC